CUUGCUCCCUUAUAUCAGCGGCGGACGGGUGAGUAACACGUGUGUAACCUGCCUGUAAGACUGGGAUAACUCCGGGAAACCGGGGCUAAUACCGGAUAACUCAUUUCCUCGCAUGAAGAAAUGUUGCUUAUGGCUUCUGCUAUCACUUGUGAUGGACCCGCGGCGCAUUAUGUUGUUGGUGAGGUAACGGCUCACCAAGGCAACGAUGCGUACCCAACCUGAGAGGGGGAUCGGCCACACUGGGACUGAGACCCGGCCCCUACUCCUACCGGGGGCAGCAAUUGGGAAUCUUCCGGAAUGGACCAGAGUCUGACGUGCCAACGGCGCGUGAAUGGUGAACGUUUUGCGAUCGCUUGCUCUGUUGAUAAGGAAAAAAAAGUGCCGUUCUUUUACGGUGGCACCUUGACGGUAACUAACCAGAAAGCCACUGCUAGCCACCUGCCAACAGCCGCGGUAAUACGUAAGCGGCAAGCGUAGUCCCUGAAUUAUUGAGCGUAAAGCGCGCGCUGGUGGAUCCUUAAGUCUGAUGUCCAAGCUCACGCUUGAACCU
This 550-nucleotide ribosomal RNA is filed under the name bacterium BaA1-1. RNAcentral describes it as "bacterial SSU rRNA". It matches the Rfam family "Bacterial small subunit ribosomal RNA", at positions 79 to 615 of the family's 1533-position model. The record is from RNAcentral.